Molecule: long non-coding RNA, 1452 nt
Organism: Bubalus bubalis (water buffalo)
Lineage: Eukaryota; Metazoa; Chordata; Mammalia; Artiodactyla; Bovidae
Exons: 7
Source: RefSeq, a predicted model, not a curated record
AUGAUUUGAAACCAUUACCCUUCAAUUCAAAAGUUUCAGUGUUUUUUUGGUUUUGUUUUUUUUUGCGGGAACCUGGUUCCCAACUAGGGAUCAAACUGUGCCUUCCUACAGUGGAAGCUCAAAGCCCUAACCACUGGACCACCAGGGAAUUCCCAGUUUCAAAUUUUUUUAAGUUUAUUUCCCACACUGUCUCUGCCUCAUCCAAGUUCUUAUUUUUUUUCUUUUAGUUUCUUUUAGCUUUCCUUCCUAUUUUUUUUCUAUUUUUCUAAACAGAUUUUAGCAAGUCUCGGCAGUUGUGUUAUGUUUGAGGCAUACCAUGAAAAAUGGAUCAAGAAGGCAGACCCUGUACAUUGGUAGGUAUGAGCUGGCCACCCAAGAUGGCUAUUCUCUUGCUUUCUGCCAGUCCCUUCUUCUACCAGUACCUACUUAGCCUACACCCUACUCACCUGACUGACCUUCCUACAUACUUGCCUCAGCCCUAGCUAAUGACUGUUCUGACCUUUAGAUCAGAACAUCUCCACCUGAUAGCCUAUUUAAGGGGCAGUGAGGGGCAGCGGGCCUCCGCUAGUUUCCCUGGUAACCAAGGAGCCAACCAGAUAUCAAUCCCCCCUGCAACUGGUACCCUCCCCCUCCCGGCGGGACCGAAGCCUGCUGCUGGGCACUGCCCACAGGCCUAUGCCGCGCACUGUGAGGUGUCCCUCCAGGACUUUGCUUCAGACGUUUUCUUUCAGUCUGGACGCCUAGCACGGUGGUUGCAUAUGUGCAAGCAUGUCCUUCCACAGCUGCUGGCAACAGCUGAGCUUCCAAGCCCGGCCCAUCACACAGCGCCCUGAGAGCAGCCCGCAGAGGCUCCCCUUCACCCAUAAGAUAAAGCACUGGAAGGGCUGUGUGGAAUCCACAGGUGGGUGCAGCUCUGCUACAUGAAGCGGGUCCUGAUGAUACUGUUUCCCUUGUCUGACACAAGAGGAUGUAUUUUUCUAUUAUACCCGAAGUAGCACGGACCCAAAGAAGCAUGGACUGAGACAAGGUCCUACUGCCUAUGGUUGGAAGCAAUCUGCAAUGUGAGAUGCACUAUCCAAGUUCACACUCACCUGAACUGAGUCCAGUCUAGUGAUCAAGGGCUGGAGUCUCUGCAAUUUGAAGCUGUUACAAAGGUUUUAAAUUGGCAGGAGAGCUCUAAGUGGGCCUGAAGCACUGACUGCCAGAGCACCAUUGCAGAAAGGACCGUCAGGCCUUGGCCACUUUUGCCACCAUCAGGAUACUUCAGUUGAUGCUAUGCACCAGUUUCUAUUGCAGUUCCUGAGGAUACAAUGUCAUAAGGCCAUUCCUGGAAAGUUCUGAACAGCUUCCUCAAUGCCUAGUUAUUGCUCAAUCUGAAAACAUGGUGUCUUGAGUUCUGCCUUGGAAGAGGCUAAGCAAGAUGGCUGCAGACGGCUGGUGAGGUGUGUCUGG